CUAGCCUAGGGACGCAGCAGUGAGGAAUAUUGGUCAAUGGCCGGAAGGCUGAACCAGCCGAGUCGCGUGAGGGACGACUGCCCUAUGGGUUGUAAACCUCUUUUAUAAGGGAAGAAUAAAUGCUACGUGUAGCAUGAUGCCUGUACCUUAUGAGUAAGCAUCGGCUAACUCCGUGCCAGCAGCCGCGGUAAUACGGAGGAUGCGAGCGUUAUCCGGAUUUAUUGGGUUUAAAGGGUGCGUAGGCGGUUUUUUAAGUUAGUGGUUAAACGUCGGGGCUUCACCUUGAUUUGCCAUUAAUACUGUAA
This 305-nucleotide ribosomal RNA is filed under the name uncultured bacterium. Its description in RNAcentral is "bacterial SSU rRNA". It matches the Rfam family "Bacterial small subunit ribosomal RNA", at positions 333 to 638 of the family's 1533-position model. The record is from RNAcentral.